This 475-nucleotide ribosomal RNA is filed under the name uncultured bacterium. RNAcentral describes it as "bacterial SSU rRNA". It matches the Rfam family "Bacterial small subunit ribosomal RNA", at positions 25 to 518 of the family's 1533-position model. The record is from RNAcentral.
CAGGACGAACGCUGGCGGCGUGCCUAACACAUGCAAGUCGAGCGAUGAAACCCUCGGGGUGGAUAGCGGCGGACGGGUGAGUAACACGUGGGUAACCUGCCUCGAAAGAGGGGGAUAGCCUCCCGAAAGGGAGAUUAAUACCGCAUAACAUUAUUUCUUCGCAUGAAGAGAUAAUCAAAGGAGUAAUCCGCUUUGAGAUGGACCCGCGGCGCAUUAGCUAGUUGGUGAGGUAACGGCUCACCAAGGCAACGAUGCGUAGCCGACCUGAGAGGGUGAUCGGCCACAUUGGAACUGAGAUACGGUCCAGACUCCUACGGGAGGCAGCAGUGGGGAAUAUUGCGCAAUGGGGGAAACCCUGAACCGCAGCAACGCCGCGUGGGUGAAGAAGGCCUUCGGGUUGUAAAGCUCUGUCUUCUGGGACGAUAAUGACGGUACCAGAGGAGGAAGCCACGGCUAACUACGUGCCAGCCGCCGC